This 377-nucleotide ribosomal RNA is filed under the name uncultured eukaryote. Its description in RNAcentral is "partial 18S ribosomal RNA". It matches the Rfam family "Eukaryotic small subunit ribosomal RNA", at positions 592 to 975 of the family's 1831-position model. The record is from RNAcentral.
CAAUAGCGUAUAUUAAAGUUGCUGCAGUUAAAAAGCUCGUAGUUGGAUUUGUGGUUCGUCCCGCCGGCCGGGUCAUUGACUUUUGCUGUGCUGGUCGUCCAUCCUUGGGUGGAAUCUGUGUGGCAUUAGGUUGUCGCGCAGGGGAUGCCCAUCGUUUACUGUGAAAAAAUUAGAGUGUUCAAAGCAGGCUUAUGCCGUUGAAUAUAUUAGCAUGGAAUAAUGAUAUAGGACCUUGGUACUAUUUUGUUGGUUUGCGCACUGAGGUAAUGAUUAAUAGGGACAGUUGGGGGUAUUCGUAUUCCAUUGUAAGAGGUGAAAUUCUUGGAUUUUUGGAAGACGAACUACUGCGAANGNAUUUACNAAGGAUGUUUNCAUUA